UGAACGCUAGCGACAGGCUUAACACAUGCAAGUCGAGGGGCAGCAUAAAAGUAGCAAUACUUUGGUGGCGACCGGCGCACGGGUGAGUAACGCGUAUGCAACCUACCUAUCAGAGGGGAAUAACCCGGCGAAAGUCGGACUAAUACCGCAUAAAACAGGGGCACCGCAUGGUGAUAUUUGUUAAAGAAAUUCGCUGAUAGAUGGGCAUGCGUUCCAUUAGGUAGUUGGUGAGGUAACGGCUCACCAAGCCGACGAUGGAUAGGGGAACUGAGAGGUUGGUCCCCCACACUGGUACUGAGACACGGACCAGACUCCUACGGGAGGCAGCAGUGAGGAAUAUUGGUCAAUGGGCGGGAGCCUGAACCAGCCAAGUCGCGUGAAGGAAGAAGGAUCUAUGGUUCGUAAACUUCUUUUGCAGGGGAAUAAAGUGCAGGACGUGUCCUGUUUUGUAUGUACCCUGAGAAUAAGGAUCGGCUAACUCCGUGCCAGCCGCCGC
Molecule: ribosomal RNA, 496 nt
Filed under: uncultured bacterium
Lineage: Bacteria
Description: bacterial SSU rRNA
Rfam family: Bacterial small subunit ribosomal RNA
Source: RNAcentral